This 922-nucleotide ribosomal RNA is filed under the name Leclercia sp. BTCZ22. RNAcentral's name for it is "bacterial SSU rRNA". It matches the Rfam family "Bacterial small subunit ribosomal RNA", at positions 69 to 990 of the family's 1533-position model. The record is from RNAcentral. Lineage: Bacteria; Pseudomonadati; Pseudomonadota; Gammaproteobacteria; Enterobacterales; Enterobacteriaceae.
GUAGCUUGCUCUCGGGUGACGAGUGGCGGACGGGUGAGUAAUGUCUGGGAAACUGCCUGAUGGAGGGGGAUAACUACUGGAAACGGUAGCUAAUACCGCAUAACGUCGCAAGACCAAAGAGGGGGACCUUCGGGCCUCUUGCCAUCGGAUGUGCCCAGAUGGGAUUAGCUAGUAGGUGGGGUAAUGGCUCACCUAGGCGACGAUCCCUAGCUGGUCUGAGAGGAUGACCAGCCACACUGGAACUGAGACACGGUCCAGACUCCUACGGGAGGCAGCAGUGGGGAAUAUUGCACAAUGGGCGCAAGCCUGAUGCAGCCAUGCCGCGUGUAUGAAGAAGGCCUUCGGGUUGUAAAGUACUUUCAGCGAGGAGGAAGGUGUUGAGGUUAAUAACCUCAGCAAUUGACGUUACUCGCAGAAGAAGCACCGGCUAACUCCGUGCCAGCAGCCGCGGUAAUACGGAGGGUGCAAGCGUUAAUCGGAAUUACUGGGCGUAAAGCGCACGCAGGCGGUCUGUUAAGUCAGAUGUGAAAUCCCCGGGCUCAACCUGGGAACUGCAUUUGAAACUGGCAGGCUUGAGUCUUGUAGAGGGGGGUAGAAUUCCAGGUGUAGCGGUGAAAUGCGUAGAGAUCUGGAGGAAUACCGGUGGCGAAGGCGGCCCCCUGGACAAAGACUGACGCUCAGGUGCGAAAGCGUGGGGGAGCAAACAGGAUUAGAUACCCUGGUAGUCCACGCCGUAAACGAUGUCGACUUGGAGGUUGUGCCCUUGAGGCGUGGCUUCCGGAGCUAACGCGUUAAGUCGACCGCCUGGGGAGUACGGCCGCAAGGUUAAAACUCAAAUGAAUUGACGGGGGCCCGCACAAGCGGUGGAGCAUGUGGUUUAAUUCGAUGCAACGCGAAGAUCCUUACCUACUCUUGACAUCCA